Xiphophorus couchianus (Monterrey platyfish) is the source of this 129-nucleotide long non-coding RNA. RefSeq lists it as uncharacterized. NCBI's taxonomy places the organism in Eukaryota, Metazoa, Chordata, Actinopteri, Cyprinodontiformes, Poeciliidae. The transcript has 3 exons. The record is from RefSeq and is a predicted model, not a curated record.
AAAAUAGUUUUUAUUGCAAAUAUCUUAACACACUUGAAAUAAGAUAAAACUGACUUAUAGAUAACCUUUCAGCAUGAUAUAGCAGCUUGUUUAAGUAAAUAAUUCCUUUACAUUGUUGAAAAAGUUCUA